UCCUCCCUGCUCCCCCCGCCCCCGCCCUUUUCGUUUCCUUCCUUCCCUCCCUCCCUCGCAGGUGGCAAGGAUGCUGUUUGCCGUCGGACCAUCUGGGCUUUUGUGUUUUGAACGCGAUCGGCUUCGCCCUAUAAUAAGAAAGCGAUACGAAGAGCGAGUCAAGCGUGGGCAAGCUUUCCCUAGGCCUGAGCUGAACCGUUGCUUCUGAUCUAGAAUCACAGACUGGUGGAGGGACCUUAUUGACCCAUUGGCCAAUUUAGGGUUUUUCUGAGCAUGGGAAGGAGGAAGAUUAAAAAAACACCACUACCCAUCCUUUUUGCGAAGCAAGCCUUGACCCACCUAAACAUGCAGUUUGGGAUAGAACGGUUCUAGUAUAAAACAAGUGUUUGUGUCCCACAUCUUUCUUCAAAAUAUCAAUUGAAGAGAACAAGCAUCUGAAGUUCUGAUACCCCUUCAAGCUUGUAAUGUGGGAAUCAGGAGUCCACAGGAAAAACUAUGCUUUAGAAAAUGACAGCAAGAAGAACAGAGAACAACAGAACCCUUACCAAUGAAUCCAAAUAUAUCUCGAAUUGUGGGAACAAAGAUCACGAGAAUGUUGGUGAAUACCAAAAGAGCCAUUGUAAUUGCAGUAUGGCGCCACCAACUAAAUUCUUUCCCUGAACACAACAACUGUGUGAUGGAGCUGCGGAUCUGUAAAAUAAAUGAAAGUUUAUUAAAAUCAUU
This is a non-coding RNA of Podarcis muralis (Common wall lizard), 723 nucleotides long. Lineage: Eukaryota; Metazoa; Chordata; Lepidosauria; Squamata; Lacertidae. The record is from RefSeq and is a predicted model, not a curated record.